GGCGCGCUUGAGCAGGGCCAGGCGUGCGGUGUGCUCGACGGCGUCGAUCAGGUUCGACUCGGUCGACCAGCGGUUCGACACCGCGGUGCGCAGC
RNAcentral lists this transfer RNA (94 nucleotides) under Mycolicibacterium smegmatis. RNAcentral's name for it is "tRNA-Ser(gct)". RNAcentral also lists the same sequence under 1 other name. The record is from RNAcentral. Lineage: Bacteria; Bacillati; Actinomycetota; Actinomycetes; Mycobacteriales; Mycobacteriaceae.